This 83-nucleotide small RNA is filed under the name Marmota monax (woodchuck). Lineage: Eukaryota; Metazoa; Chordata; Mammalia; Rodentia; Sciuridae. The record is from RNAcentral.
GUUGGGUGUGGUGGUGCACGCCUGUAAUCCCAACUGCUCGGGAGGCUGAGGCAGGAGGAUUUUGAGUUCAAAGCCAGCCUCAG